CCAAGUCUUUCCAGCUCAUGAGCAAAGGAAGAUGAUCUUGCAUCAUACAGUAUGUGUGCAGACAUUUGUAGGGGAGACGGGACAUGUCCAGUGUGUUAACCAGCAUGUGUGGAGCAGACACUGGGUUCUGAGGGAGAAAGAGGAGGGGACAUACAAUACAAGAGAUUGUAAAGAAGAAAUUAAACAUCAGGUGGGAGGGUGAGUGAAAGGUCAAUGAGAACCACGCACCACCACAGACUCAUCUUUUACAAGCUGCCUCCAUUUCCUGAAAGCCUACUAAAAAGCCUUCUCUCUGAUUCUAAUUUGCUACUUUUAUCAUUUAGACAUUCCAUUUCUGGCAACGACGUAACUGUUGUACAUUUCUGAGAUGCAGAGCUGAAUUAGCGAAUACAAUAGAACAACGACAUUUAAUUCUAUGUCAUUGCAGUUUGUGCCACUUUUUCUGUCUAUGUACCAUUAGCUUUGUUACUUCUUACUUUUUACGCAAUCCUUCUUCACGUAACACUGUUGUAGAUUUAAAAAUUCCUCCACAGAAUAAUUGUUGCACACUGCAGAUUAAAAAAUAAAAUGAUAACAUGAAUCAAUAGUUCUGUGGAAGCAUUGUGUUUCUUUUAAGAAUAAAAUGAUGGGAGGAAAAGCUUGAAAUAAACCUGCAGCUUAGCCUCUGGGAAAAACAAAUGGUUUAACUAAUGAGAUAUUAGAAAAGAUAUCCCAAAAAGCUAGAAAAAAAUCAUCCGAAGAAUAAGUAUUGCCUUUAAUUAUGUCUAAAUUAAAUCUACAUUUAUAAAAAAUGUAGAUGAAAAACAAUGACUAAAAGAAGAAAUGGUUGAUGGUUCUCCUCUUUCAUAGUUUG
This 853-nucleotide long non-coding RNA is filed under the name Lepisosteus oculatus (spotted gar). RNAcentral's name for it is "lncRNA (ENSLOCG00000022840.1)". The record is from RNAcentral. Lineage: Eukaryota; Metazoa; Chordata; Actinopteri; Semionotiformes; Lepisosteidae.